Cyprinus carpio (common carp) is the source of this 956-nucleotide long non-coding RNA. The record is from Ensembl. NCBI's taxonomy places the organism in Eukaryota, Metazoa, Chordata, Actinopteri, Cypriniformes, Cyprinidae.
AGACAAUCAGUGUGAGUGGUCAGCCUGUUACAGGUCAAAGUUCGUGGUCAUCAAUGGUUGAGAUGGACGGCUCUCCAUCUGGUGGGGACUUGGCCUCUGAGGGUCGGGGCUGAAAAAUGUCUGUAGAUAUUUGGUGUGCAGCUGCAUGACAUGAAUUCAAUGAAAGCAGGCACUUAAGCGACUAUGUGUGCACCCAGUAAAAAGCACAAUGUAGGAGCAUUAGUAUGCUAAUGAGGUGCAGGGCGACAGGUGGCCCGCUAGACAGCUCAAUUAAGCAGCUCAUUAAAGGCCAAGCUAACGAAGCGGCCUCCACUGCAAGCCUCAACAAACAGUGUGACUGUGCAGGCUACAAAUUGGCGGAUACCAACAGGUCCUCUCUGACACAAAGCGCCGAGGGGCUGAGGGAGGCGGGCGAGACGAGGGGUGCAUCUUAACCUGAGACGUCCCUCACACAAGUAAAUAUUCUCACACACACCCCACUGCAUGCCACCCACACAGCAAUAUGGAGAUGCGACAUUGAUACAAACUAAGCCUGGGGAGUUUGUGAAGAUGAUGUUUUGUUGUGUUGUUUUUGAAAGGUCUUGGUUAGUGUGGGUGAUGUUAUUGUGUAUGUAAAACGUAUAGAGAAAGAGGGAGGGACAGUAAGAAAGACAAGCACUUUUUUUGGAGGGGGCCAAUCUGUUGCAGCUCUGGAUGAAGUCUUGUGAUGGAAAGACAGUGUGUAAAGCGACAUAUGUGACACAGAGGGACAAUAGGAUUAUGGUCCUCUUCUCGUUAUCCGUGCCUUUGGACAGUGGGAUUAACAUCUGGGGAGUGAAGAUCUCGGGCCGCUAAGCUUCAGUGCGGCCCAGUUCCUCAUCUCUUGUGUGGGGUGGGAAAGCAGGGGUGAAGGGGGUCCCCUGGAGAGUGGGCCGCUACCAGGACUUACAUAUUCAUCAGAGAUCAGAGCUAUGUUC